CUAGUUGAAGCCGAACCACUAUAAAAAUUUCAGUGUUCAUUUUCUUAACCCUUGCUCUUUACAUUUAUGCAUUUUAACUUUAUGAUUGAUAUGUUUUUGUUGACAUGAAAGUUGAGGCCAUUUGCUGUUAAUCUUGCUGCAAUCUGAGAAAAUCAGUUUACUGCUAAAUCUGCUUUUGCUGCUAAUUUGUUGAUAUCUGAUAUAUUCUGCUGGUUACCUGUUGUGCUGUCAGAUAGGAUAUUUGGUAUACUGCUCUGGUUGCUGUGUUAAAAACGUAUUCAGAUUACUGAUAUAUUUACUGAAUGCUUAUAUAGUCUGUUAUAUCAGUAUACUGAUUGCAUAUAGCUUAACCUUGAGUCAACUUGUCAAUAGAGCUAUAUUGUUCAUUUUUCACAUUAGUUAAUUU
RNAcentral lists this unclassified non-coding RNA (406 nucleotides) under Hevea brasiliensis (rubber tree). Lineage: Eukaryota; Viridiplantae; Streptophyta; Magnoliopsida; Malpighiales; Euphorbiaceae. The record is from RNAcentral.